AUUAACGCUUCGGCAGAACAUAUACUAAAAUGAGAAUGAUACAGAGAAGAUAAGCAGCGCUCCUGCUCAAGAAUGACAAGCAAAAUCGUAAACAGUUCCAUAUUUUU
RNAcentral lists this small nuclear RNA (107 nucleotides) under Schistosoma japonicum. The record is from RNAcentral. Lineage: Eukaryota; Metazoa; Platyhelminthes; Trematoda; Strigeidida; Schistosomatidae.